This 450-nucleotide ribosomal RNA is filed under the name uncultured bacterium. RNAcentral describes it as "bacterial SSU rRNA". It matches the Rfam family "Bacterial small subunit ribosomal RNA", at positions 28 to 458 of the family's 1533-position model. The record is from RNAcentral.
GAUGAACGCUGGCGGCGUGCUUAACACAUGCAAGUCGAACGAAGCACUUUAUUUGAUUUCCUUCGGGACUGAUUAUUUUGUGACUGAGUGGCGGACGGGUGAGUAACGCGUGGGUAACCUGCCUUGUACAGGGGGAUAACAGUUGGAAACGGCUGCUAAUACCGCAUAAGCGCACGGCAUCGCAUGAUGCAGUGUGAAAAACUCCGGUGGUAUAAGAUGGACCCGUGUUGGAUUAGCUAGUUGGUGAGGUAACGGCCCACCAAGGCGACGAUCCAUAGCCGACCUGAGAGGGUGACCGGCCACAUUGGGACUGAGACACGGCCCAAACUCCUACGGGAGGCAGCAGUGGGGAAUAUUGCACAAUGGGCGAAAGCCUGAUGCAGCGACGCCGCGUGAGCGAAGAAGUAUUUCGGUAUGUAAAGCUCUAUCAGCAGGGAAGAUAAUGACGGU